Molecule: small RNA, 55 nt
Filed under: Arabidopsis thaliana (thale cress)
Lineage: Eukaryota; Viridiplantae; Streptophyta; Magnoliopsida; Brassicales; Brassicaceae
Description: ATSL151650
Source: RNAcentral
AUUAACCUUAACAGAUUGGUAUCAGAGCCAGGUUGGCAAAGAAAGGCUAAAGCUU